RNAcentral lists this long non-coding RNA (1302 nucleotides) under Mus musculus (house mouse). RNAcentral's name for it is "long non-coding RNA chr10:117148680-117149982". The record is from RNAcentral. Lineage: Eukaryota; Metazoa; Chordata; Mammalia; Rodentia; Muridae.
GGUCCCGCGGGCCCCGAGCUACCGCUGGCACCCCUUAUUUUAACGCCUGUUAGGAUCGCUCCCUUCUACUUAAUUCUACAGGGGCCCGGAGAAUCUAAUUUCGCCGAGCCCGGAGCAUUCACCGGCUUGCCGACCGGCCGGCGGUGUUAUCCUUUCUCGCUUCUGUCCCGCGUGAAAAUGCAGUUGACAUUUAUCGAAGGAAGGCUUACGGCGUGGUAGACAGGGCAUUUAUUACGCGAUUCGGUGGCGUUAACUCAUUUAAUAACCUUCAAACUCCUGGAAAUUGGUGCUUUUAUUCUCUGUGUCUUACAGAGAAGGAAAUCGGCCAAAGUAUCGGACUUUACCACAUAUGCUGGCUCUUGGUUUUACUUUAAUUUGUGGUAUGCGUAGAACUCUCAUUUGCCCCAAACAAGACUUUUCAAAUUAUUCAAAGACGGGAGCCAAAUUAUUUCCCUAUAUGGGUCAUCCUUUGCACUUUAAACAAAGGCUGAGAUGAUGGGCUAUGCAAUCUUAGUGCCAGGAUCCUGUUUCUUUACAUUUCACCCUGGUGUGUGUGUGUGUCGUGUUCAUCUCUGGAUUGUAGACGUUAAAAAUAAUAUAAUGCAUAACGCAAUAGUAAGCAUUUCAAAGUACCCAGGACUGAGUACGUCCGCACAAUUCUUAUACCUAACCAGUAACUAGCAAUAGAGAAGACCUGGGCACUUUUGAAACUUACCAAAGACAGACAGUAUGAGAGCCUACAGAGUCAGUGUCAGGCAAAGAAGUGAGACGAUCUUAAAAGAUUUGCUCUGUCACAAAAUCAAGAAACAUCAAAUAUUAAAGGCAGGUUUUCAGUAUGAAGCAAAGCCCCACAUGGAAGAAAAGGGCUCAAACCUGACAAGCUAUUUUGUUUCCAGCAGUCUAAAAAGGCUGAGGCAGGGAGAGUCCGGAGAGUUUCUAGCCAGCCUAAGCUUUACAGUGAGUUUCCAGACAAAGGUGGCCAGGACUAUGAAGCAAGACUCUUGUCCAAAAAGAAGGAGAGGAGGAGGAAAAAAGGAAGAGCAAAAAAGAAAAGAGUUUCUUAGCAUGCAUAGUGUCUGUUAAAUACUGCAGGGACAAGUGUUAAGACAAUCUGCUUUGAGAAAGGCAGAGUAAAAGAAAACCCCUUAUUACAAAUUUAAGAUGCAAACAAUGCCAUCACUAUUGCUGUAUAUAAAGUACUGCCUUGUGCUUUAUGUAAUUGCAGAAGUGUUUGUAAACACUUCCAGAAUUCUCAAGUUCAAGCAGCCUUUCAUGCCUCCUAGUAGACUGAAGAAGAAGAAG